AUACUUACCUGCAGGGGAGACACCAUGAUCAAGAAGGCGGUUCACCCAGGGCGAAAGCUCGGCCUCACGGGACCUCAGCGAAAGCAUUCCCCGGCAGCCUCCCCUAAAUGUGCUCCCCUACCUGCAUAAUUUAUGGUGGUGUGACCGGGCGCCAGCGCUUUCCCCGA
This is a small nuclear RNA of Cyprinus carpio (common carp), 167 nucleotides long. RefSeq annotates it as U1 spliceosomal RNA. The record is from RefSeq and is a predicted model, not a curated record. Lineage: Eukaryota; Metazoa; Chordata; Actinopteri; Cypriniformes; Cyprinidae. The transcript has a single exon.